RNAcentral lists this ribosomal RNA (492 nucleotides) under uncultured bacterium. Its description in RNAcentral is "partial 16S ribosomal RNA". It matches the Rfam family "Bacterial small subunit ribosomal RNA", at positions 29 to 507 of the family's 1533-position model. The record is from RNAcentral.
AGUGAACGCUGGCGGUAGGCCUAACACAUGCAAGUCGAACGGCAGCACAGUAAGAGCUUGCUCUUACGGGUGGCGAGUGGCGGACGGGUGAGGAAUACAUCGGAAUCUACUUUUUCGUGGGGGAUAACGUAGGGAAACUUACGCUAAUACCGCAUACGACCUACGGGUGAAAGCAGGGGAUCUUCGGACCUUGCGCGAUUGAAUGAGCCGAUGUCGGAUUAGCUAGUUGGCGGGGUAAAGGCCCACCAAGGCGACGAUCUGUAGCUGGUCUGAGAGGAUGAUCAGCCACACUGGAACUGAGACACGGUCCAGACUCCUACGGGAGGCAGCAGUGGGGAAUAUUGGACAAUGGGCGCAAGCCUGAUCCAGCCAUACCGCGUGGGUGAAGAAGGCCUUCGGGUUGUAAAGCCCUUUUGUUGGGAAAGAAAAGCAGCAGGUUAAUACCCCGCUGUUCUGACGGUACCCAAAGAAUAAUCACCGGCUAACUUCGUG